Molecule: ribosomal RNA, 826 nt
Filed under: Bifidobacterium longum subsp. infantis
Lineage: Bacteria; Bacillati; Actinomycetota; Actinomycetes; Bifidobacteriales; Bifidobacteriaceae
Description: bacterial SSU rRNA
Rfam family: Bacterial small subunit ribosomal RNA
Source: RNAcentral
AGUUGAUCGCAUGGUCUUCUGGGAAGCUUUCGCGGUAUGGGAUGGGGUCGCGUCCUAUCAGCUUGACGGCGGGGUAACGGCCCACCGUGGCUUCGACGGGUAGCCGGCCUGAGAGGGCGACCGGCCACAUUGGGACUGAGAUACGGCCCAGACUCCUACGGGAGGCAGCAGUGGGGAAUAUUGCACAAUGGGCGCAAGCCUGAUGCAGCGACGCCGCGUGAGGGAUGGAGGCCUUCGGGUUGUAAACCUCUUUUAUCGGGGAGCAAGCGUGAGUGAGUUUACCCGUUGAAUAAGCACCGGCUAACUACGUGCCAGCAGCCGCGGUAAUACGUAGGGUGCAAGCGUUAUCCGGAAUUAUUGGGCGUAAAGGGCUCGUAGGCGGUUCGUCGCGUCCGGUGUGAAAGUCCAUCGCUUAACGGUGGAUCCGCGCCGGGUACGGGCGGGCUUGAGUGCGGUAGGGGAGACUGGAAUUCCCGGUGUAACGGUGGAAUGUGUAGAUAUCGGGAAGAACACCAAUGGCGAAGGCAGGUCUCUGGGCCGUUACUGACGCUGAGGAGCGAAAGCGUGGGGAGCGAACAGGAUUAGAUACCCUGGUAGUCCACGCCGUAAACGGUGGAUGCUGGAUGUGGGGCCCGUUCCACGGGUUCCGUGUCGGAGCUAACGCGUUAAGCAUCCCGCCUGGGGAGUACGGCCGCAAGGCUAAAACUCAAAGAAAUUGACGGGGGCCCGCACAAGCGGCGGAGCAUGCGGAUUAAUUCGAUGCAACGCGAAGAACCUUACCUGGGCUUGACAUGUUCCCGACGAUCCCAGAGAUGGGGUUUCCCUU